This 500-nucleotide ribosomal RNA is filed under the name uncultured bacterium. RNAcentral describes it as "partial 16S ribosomal RNA". It matches the Rfam family "Bacterial small subunit ribosomal RNA", at positions 30 to 523 of the family's 1533-position model. The record is from RNAcentral.
AUUGAACGCUGGCGGCAUGCCUUACACAUGCAAGUCGAACGGCAGCGCGGACUUCGGUCUGGCGGCGAGUGGCGAACGGGUGAGUAAUACAUCGGAACGUACCCUGUUGUGGGGGAUAACUAGUCGAAAGUUUAGCUAAUACCGCAUACGACCUGAGGGUGAAAGUGGGGGACCGCAAGGCCUCACGCCGCAGGAGCGGCCCAUGUCGGAUUAGCUAGUUGGUGGGGUAAAGGCCCACCAAGGCGACGAUCAGUAGCUGGUCUGAGAGGACGAUCAGCCACACUGGGACUGAGACACGGCCCAGACUCCUACGGGAGGCAGCAGUGGGGAAUUUUGGACAAUGGGGGCAACCCUGAUCCAGCAAUGCCGCGUGUGUGAAGAAGGCCUUCGGGUUGUAAAGCACUUUUGUCCGGAAAGAAAUCGCGCUGGUUAAUACCUGGCGUGGAUGACGGUACCGGAAGAAUAAGCACCGGCUAACUACGUGCCAGCCGCCGCGGUAA